Molecule: long non-coding RNA, 247 nt
Filed under: Rattus norvegicus (Norway rat)
Lineage: Eukaryota; Metazoa; Chordata; Mammalia; Rodentia; Muridae
Description: long non-coding RNA NONRATT033450
Source: RNAcentral
CACUGAUUGCCAGAGCCCAGACAAUGACUACUGCUGUGUUUCCUAGCCUUGCCAGGAGGAUCUCGCUUUGUGGUUCCUACAGGUUACCUGAAGACAUAGUGUCAGGCAAAGGAGUGGAUCAUCUGAAGAUCUUGGUAUUGGAAAUGAGUCCAGGACCAACCCUUAUGGAUGACUCUGUAAGAAUGGGGUGGAUAUGAAGACUAGGGUGAUGGCUCAUGUAGGAAGAAAACUUGCUGUGAAAGUUUGG